RNAcentral lists this ribosomal RNA (466 nucleotides) under uncultured bacterium. Its description in RNAcentral is "partial 16S ribosomal RNA". It matches the Rfam family "Bacterial small subunit ribosomal RNA", at positions 28 to 507 of the family's 1533-position model. The record is from RNAcentral.
GAUGAACGCUGGCGGCGUGCUUAACACAUGCAAGUCGAACGAUGAAGCCCAGCUUGCUGGGUGGAUUAGUGGCGAACGGGUGAGUAACACGUGAGUAACCUGCCCUUCACUCUGGGAUAAGCCUGGGAAACUGGGUCUAAUACCGGAUAGGAGCGCCUACCGCAUGGUGGGUGUUGGAAAGAUUUAUCGGUUUUGGAUGGACUCGCGGUCUAUCAGCUUGUUGGUGAGGUAAUGGCUCACGAAGGCGACGACGGGUAGCCGGCCUGAGAGGGUGACCGGCCACACUGGGACUGAGACACGGCCCAGACUCCUACGGGAGGCAGCAGUGGGGAAUAUUACACAAUAGGCGAAAGCCAGAUGCAGCGACGCCGCGUGAGGGAUGACGGCCUUCGGGUUGUAAACCUCUUUCAGUAGGGAAGAAGCGAAAGUGACGGUACCUGCAGAAGAAGCACCGGCUAACUACGUG